RNAcentral lists this long non-coding RNA (254 nucleotides) under Actinidia chinensis (golden kiwifruit). Its description in RNAcentral is "long non-coding RNA (ACHI_LNC007983)". The record is from RNAcentral. Lineage: Eukaryota; Viridiplantae; Streptophyta; Magnoliopsida; Ericales; Actinidiaceae.
CGAAGGCUAAACCGAACAGAACAGUCAUUAUGUAUUGAUCACAUGUCCCUAAAAUCAGUGAAUACAGGCAAUUGACGAUGAUGGGGCGGCGAUGACUGCUGGUGGGCUUCAAUCAACAGUGAUGACGAUCGAUUGGGCUAGUGGCUUUCAAUCGAUGACAACGGCAACUGGGUGGGUUCAAUCGAAACGACGACAACUGGACCCUUCAAUUGACAGUUCGAUGGGGUUCAACGAUGUUCGAUAGUGCUUGUUUC